GACGAACGCUGGCGGCGUGCCUAAUACAUGCAAGUCGAGCGAGCUUGCUUAGAUGAAUUUGGUGCUUGCACCAAAUGAAACUAGAUACAAGCGAGCGGCGGACGGGUGAGUAACACGUGGGUAGCCUGCCCAAGAGACUGGGAUAACACCUGGAAACAGAUGCUAAUACCGGAUAACAACACUAGACGCAUGUCUAGAGUUUAAAAGAUGGUUCUGCUAUCACUCUUGGAUGGACCUGCGGUGCAUUAGCUAGUUGGUAAGGUAACGGCUUACCAAGGCAAUGAUGCAUAGCCGAGUUGAGAGACUGAUCGGCCACAUUGGGACUGAGACACGGCCCAAACUCCUACGGGAGGCAGCAGUAGGGAAUCUUCCACAAUGGACGCAAGUCUGAUGGAGCAACGCCGCGUGAGUGAAGAAGGGUUUCGGCUCGUAAAGCCCUGUUGGUAGUGAAGAAAGAUAGAGGUAGUAACUGGCCUUUAUUUGACGGUAAUUACUUAGAAAGUCACGGCUAACUACGUGCCAGCAGCCGCGGUAAUACGUAGGUGGCAAGCGUUGUCCGGAUUUAUUGGGCGUAAAGCGAGUGCAGGCGGUUCAAUAAGUCUGAUGUGAAAGCCUUCGGCUCAACCGGAGAAUUGCAUCAGAAACUGUUGAACUUGAGUGCAGAAGAGGAGAGUGGAACUCCAUGUGUAGCGGUGGAAUGCGUAGAUAUAUGGAAGAACACCAGUGGCGAAGGCGGCUCUCUGGUCUGCAACUAACGCUGAGGCUCGAAAGCAUGGGUAGCGAACAGGAUUAGAUACCCUGGUAGUCCAUGCCGUAAACGAUGAGUGCUAAGUGUUGGGAGGUUUCCGCCUCUCAGUGCUGCAGCUAACGCAUUAAGCACUCCGCCUGGGGAGUACGACCGCAAGGUUGAAACUCAAAGGAAUUGACGGGGGCCCGCACAAGCGGUGGAGCAUGUGGUUUAAUUCGAAGCAACGCGAAGAACCUUACCAGGUCUUGACAUCCAGUGCAAACCUAAGAGAUUAGGAGUUCCCUUCGGGGACGCUGAGACAGGUGGUGCAUGGCUGUCGUCAGCUCGUGUCGUGAGAUGUUGGGUUAAGUCCCGCAACGAGCGCAACCCUUAAGCUUAGUUGCCAUCAUUAAGUUGGGCACUCUAAGUUGACUGCCGGUGACAAACCGGAGGAAGGUGGGGAUGACGUCAAAUCAUCAUGCCCCUUAUGAUUUGGGCUACACACGUGCUACAAUGGACAAUACAAAGGGCAGCGAAACCGCGAGGUCAAGCAAAUCCCAUAAAGUUGUUCUCAGUUCGGAUUGUAGUCUGCAACUCGACUAUAUGAAGCUGGAACCGCUAGUAAUCGUAGAUCAGCAUGCUACGGUGAAUACGUUCCCGGGUCU
RNAcentral lists this ribosomal RNA (1392 nucleotides) under uncultured bacterium. Its description in RNAcentral is "bacterial SSU rRNA". It matches the Rfam family "Bacterial small subunit ribosomal RNA", at positions 28 to 1381 of the family's 1533-position model. The record is from RNAcentral.